RNAcentral lists this ribosomal RNA (486 nucleotides) under uncultured bacterium. RNAcentral describes it as "bacterial SSU rRNA". It matches the Rfam family "Bacterial small subunit ribosomal RNA", at positions 28 to 507 of the family's 1533-position model. The record is from RNAcentral.
GACGAACGCUGGCGGCGUGCUUAACACAUGCAAGUCGAACGAGAAGAGAUGAGAAGCUUGCUUCUUAUUGAUUCGAGUGGCAAACGGGUGAGUAACGCGUAAGCAACCUGCCCUUCAGAUGGGGACAACAGCUGGAAACGGCUGCUAAUACCGAAUACGUUCUUUUUGUCGCAUGGCAGAGGGAAGAAAGGGAGGCUCUUCGGAGCUUUCGCUGAAGGAUGGGGAUGCGUCUGAUUAGCUUGUUGGCGGGGUAACGGCCCACCAAGGCGACGAUCAGUAGGGGUUCUGAGAGGAAGGUCCCCCACAUUGGAACUGAGACACGGUCCAAACUCCUACGGGAGGCAGCAGUGAGGAAUAUUGGGCAAUGGGGGAAACCCUGACCCAGCAACGCCGCGUGAAGGAAGAAGGCUUUCGGGUUGUAAACUUCUUUUACCAGGGACGAAGGACGUGACGGUACCUGGAGAAAAAGCCACGGCUAACUACGUG